RNAcentral lists this unclassified non-coding RNA (173 nucleotides) under uncultured Penicillium. Its description in RNAcentral is "sequence contains ITS1". Lineage: Eukaryota; Fungi; Ascomycota; Eurotiomycetes; Eurotiales; Aspergillaceae. The record is from RNAcentral.
CCGAGUGAGGGCCCUCUGGGUCCAACCUCCCACCCAUGUAUAUCGUACCUUGUUGCUUUGGCGGGCCCGCCUCACGGCCGCUGGGGGGCAUCUGCCCCCGGGCCCGCGCCCGCCGAAGACACCCACGAACUCUGUCUGAAGAUUGCAGUCUGAGUGAAAUGAUAAAUUAUUUA